RNAcentral lists this ribosomal RNA (253 nucleotides) under uncultured bacterium. RNAcentral describes it as "partial 16S ribosomal RNA". It matches the Rfam family "Bacterial small subunit ribosomal RNA", at positions 524 to 776 of the family's 1533-position model. The record is from RNAcentral.
UACGUAGGAGACAAACGUUAUCCGGAGUUACUGGGCGUAAAGGGCGUGCAGGUGGUCUGUUAAGUCUGGCGUGAAAGCUCCUGGCUAAACCGGGAGAGGUCGUUGGAUACUGGCGGACUAGAGGACGGUAGAGGCGUGUGGAAUUCCGGGUGUAGUGGUGAAAUGCGUAGAGAUCCGGAGGAACACCAGUGGCGAAGGCGACACGCUGGGCCGUACCUGACACUGAUACGCGACAGCAUGGGGAGCGAACGGG